RNAcentral lists this long non-coding RNA (1318 nucleotides) under Homo sapiens (human). RNAcentral's name for it is "HSALNT0077761". Lineage: Eukaryota; Metazoa; Chordata; Mammalia; Primates; Hominidae. The record is from RNAcentral.
UGUGCAAGGACCCUGAAAUCGGUGUGCAAGGAGAAAAAAGCUGUCUGCAGCUUGGAAGAGAUCUUUAUCUUGGGGAUGCUUACAGGUGAAAUCAAUGGGUUUAGUCAUCUCUUUGAAUGCAGUGGAGGUGAUACUAUGGUCAUAAUGACCAGGGGCUGGGUCAGAAGAACUUCAGAUUGAGCCUCUUGAAACAUUUGCUCUUGGAAUUCUCCCUCUCAGGAAACUAACAGCCUGCUAUGAAGCCCAAGCCACAAAGAGAGGCCAAGGGGAAAUAAACAGAGUGUGAUUAUAUGCAAAACCUACAAGAAUGAGGACCUCCAAACUCAGUGUACAGAGUGAUUUUCUGCUGAAACAAUUGGCUUUUAAAAAAUUGUGUGACUGACCAGCAGCAGUGGCUCACAUCUGUAAUCCCAGCACUUUGGGAGGCCGAGAAAAUAAAAGAGACAUCAGUGUGUGAAUGACGACUUUCUGUUGCUGACUUGGAAGACAGAGGAAUUGGGUCAUGAGCCGAGGAAGGUGGGCAGCUUCUAAAAGGCGGAAAAGUGGCUGAAGUGAGAGGAAGCGAGGAUAUGGCUGACAUUCUCCAAGAAGCAGUGACUUCAGAAGAUGACUGGCAUCUUGAACUUCAGGAAAAUGCUUGGCCUUUUUAACUCUGAAAGUCUGUUUGAAACUCAGAAGAAGAAAAUUAGGUGAAUACAAAACUGCUGCCAAACUUAGAAACUUGGUUAAAUAUCCUGCAGAAAAUAUCAUGGGCUUUUCAGAGUCCAGUUAAAUAUCUACAGAUUAUAUUUCCAGUUUCAUACCUGGGGCAUUAACUCUAUUCAUUUUACUAGCUUUAGUGAAUUUUACUUCUGGAGCAUAACAUUGCAUUGAAAAUGUGUCCUCUAACCUAUGAUAUUUAUGUAUCGUUUAAUAUGAAAUUUAUGAGGUUCCAUUUCUGAUUUCCAAAUGGAUGCAAAUUAGAACACAGGAUAUUUACAUUCUUUCAUUUCUAACCCACAUACAUAAAGUUUGACUUUAAAAUGCCACUGUUCGUGUCUGUUUCAUAGAAGCUCUAGGUAUUUAUACGUCCAUUGUGUCUCUGGCACACUCUGAAUUCCAGUUUUUAAUCUAAUAUUGGGCAGGAAUUGGCUAUAAAAAUACAAUGCCAUUGAGGACAGAGCUGGAUUGCUUUUUUUCUGUUAAUUCUUGAGAACUUUAUAGUUUCUCAGGGAAGUAUAAUUUGUAACCACAUCAUCAUCUAACACUUUUCCUGUCUUUUUUGGAGAUUGACAGUUGAAAAUCUAUAAGAUCUUUUUGCAACUAAGAUCAGGAAAAA